Molecule: ribosomal RNA, 227 nt
Filed under: uncultured organism
Description: partial 16S ribosomal RNA
Rfam family: Bacterial small subunit ribosomal RNA
Source: RNAcentral
GGAAUAUUCUGCAAUGGACGAAAGUCUGACAGAGCAAUACCGCGUGAAGGAUGAAGGCCUACGGGUUGUAAACUUCUUUUCUCAAGGAGGAAGAAAUGACGUUACUUGAGGAAUAAGCAUCGGCUAACCCUGUGCCAGCAGCCGCGGUAAUACAGGGGAUGCAAGUGUUAUCCGGAAUUAUUGGGCGUAAAGCGUACGUAGGCGGCUUAUCAAGUCUGGGGUUAAAG